GUGGGUUGACACAACCUCCCCAAUGACAGUCGAGAGCCGUGUACGUCUGUCAACAAAACAACUGACUCUGUCUGUCAUGCCUGCACACGCUUUGAUCGCUGUGUACGUGAAGUCAACGACCAUUAGAACAAGCCUGUGGCCAAUUUGUUGGUCAUGAAUAACUGAUUUCGACCCUUUAGACCGUCAGAUCCCAGACCAGCAUCUCCUCUACACAAAGAAGGUCGUGACAAUGGCACUUCAAAGUAAUGAAGCAGCUGCUGUUAUCUCAGGAGCCGGUGAAGAAUGCGUUGGGGAGGAGGAGGUGUUAAAAGAAGAGAGAUACGGUCGCUGCGAUCUUUGGGCGCUGACCUCGUCAGUAUUUCCCCCAACAGAAAUGAGGCACAGCGCUCCAGUGGAAUACGGUGGAUCUCAUUUCCAUAACACUUUCUCUCAUGAUCCCCACCCUACACCACUUCUCUGUACCAACAGCUGACCUUUAAACUACUGCUGCUGGCUGUUAUAGUCUAAUCUUUCCAUCGAACGUUGUCUGUAAGUCAUGACAGGAAUUUUCAUUGUGUCUAAUGUACUUUUUUUAAUGAACACCACGAGAUUAUACAUCACUUACAGUAUAUGUUUACAUAUGAAGAUUUAUUGUCAACAACACUCACACCAGACAAAUGCUUUAUUUGAACGAAUUCUCCUUUUUUUGGCGGUUAUUUAAGUUACAUUAUAAAACGGGCAUUCAUUCUGAUUGGUUGAAACGCGUUCUAAGCCGUGAUAAAAUACCCCGGUAACCCCACGGUUCAGACAGCAUUACAUGAGUAUCACUGCGCCACUGUUGCUACGUACUGAUUUAUGAAAAUAAACACCACAGUCUUUAAUCAUAUUUUUAAUUUGUCUACAAUUGCACAAUUACUGGCGAUAUCCCAGAUAAAUGUCAAUAAAUAUUGUUGAGUCAUAAAAAACACUGUGUACUUUUUGAUCAGACUUUAAAUCUGAUCUCUUACAAAAGUUAUUCACAAAAAUGGAAUUACCUCUAUGGUGAUAAUAGAACAAAUGAAGGUAGGAUGAAACAGGGUCUGUUCUUUCAUUUGAAUUUUUUUUAUAAAGAAGAUAAUUUUUUCUGGAAGGCAUUAAACUAAAAGUGUCAACUUAAAAAAAAAAAAAAAAACGCUGACGGGGAAAGAGUCAAGCAUGCUUCUACGCAUAUUUGAUCAUCACUUCAACAGUUAUAUACAACAGCACGAUAUAAAUGUUAAUGUAUAAAUUAGAUGAAUGUUGAUUUAUAAAAAUAAACACCACAGUCUUAAAUCAUAUUUUCAUUGUGUCUUUGCUGCGUCUGUGUUGGUUGGGAACUGCGCUCUGUUUCAGUCACACUUGAUUCUGAGAAACUGCUUUGUUUGGCGGAAGAGUAAUAUUUGUACUAAUAUAAUUACAACUUAUUUGUGUUUUAUGUUAUGAAAUCCUGCUAUGCAUAUGAAGUAACAG
Long non-coding RNA from Misgurnus anguillicaudatus (oriental weatherfish), 1467 nucleotides. RefSeq lists it as uncharacterized. NCBI's taxonomy places the organism in Eukaryota, Metazoa, Chordata, Actinopteri, Cypriniformes, Cobitidae. The record is from RefSeq and is a predicted model, not a curated record.